UACGUAGGGUGCGAGCGUUAAUCGGAAUUACUGGGCGUAAAGGGUGCGCAGGCGGUCCCGCAAGUCAGGCGUGAAAUCCCCGGGCUUAACCUGGGAAUGGCACUUGAAACUACGGGACUGGAGUGUGGCAGAGGGAGGUGGAAUUCCACGUGUAGCGGUGAAAUGCGUAGAUAUGUGGAGGAACACCAAUGGCGAAGGCAGCCUCCUGGGUCAACACUGACGCUCAUGCACGAAAGCGUGGGGAGCAAACAGG
RNAcentral lists this ribosomal RNA (253 nucleotides) under uncultured bacterium. Its description in RNAcentral is "partial 16S ribosomal RNA". It matches the Rfam family "Bacterial small subunit ribosomal RNA", at positions 524 to 776 of the family's 1533-position model. The record is from RNAcentral.